Molecule: ribosomal RNA, 200 nt
Filed under: Bacillus thuringiensis
Lineage: Bacteria; Bacillati; Bacillota; Bacilli; Caryophanales; Bacillaceae
Also listed under: 1 other name
Description: partial 16S ribosomal RNA
Rfam family: Bacterial small subunit ribosomal RNA
Source: RNAcentral
UUUAUUGGAGAGUUUGAUCCUGGCUCAGGAUGAACGCUGGCGGCGUGCCUAAUACAUGCAAGUCGAGCGAAUGGAUUGAGAGCUUGCUCUCAAGAAGUUAGCGGCGGACGGGUGAGUAACACGUGGGUAACCUGCCCAUAAGACUGGGAUAACUCCGGGAAACCGGGGCUAAUACCGGAUAACAUUUUGAACUGCAUGGU